This 98-nucleotide signal recognition particle RNA is filed under the name Chitinophagaceae bacterium. RNAcentral describes it as "signal recognition particle sRNA small type". It matches the Rfam family "Bacteroidales small SRP", at positions 9 to 102 of the family's 107-position model. From Rfam's summary of the family: The non-coding component of the signal recognition particle in Bacteroides The record is from RNAcentral. Lineage: Bacteria; Pseudomonadati; Bacteroidota; Chitinophagia; Chitinophagales; Chitinophagaceae.
CGGCAAGUCUUAUACGACCAGCUCCUGUUACUCCUCCAGGGUGGGAACACAGCAAAGGUACACGGUUGUAGCGGUGCGAUAUAAGUAACUUGCCUUUU